GGGUUGUGAGGUUAAGUGACUAAGCGUACACGGUGGAUGCCUAGGCAGUCAGAGGCGAUGAAGGGCGUGCUAAUCUGCGAAAAGCGUCGGUAAGGUGAUAUGAACCGUUACAACCGGCGAUACCCGAAUGGGGAAACCCAGUGUGUUUCGACACACUAUCAUGUCAUGAAUACAUAGUGGCAUGAGGCGAACCGGGGGAACUGAAACAUCUAAGUACCCCGAGGAAAAGAAAUCAACCGAGAUUCCCCCAGUAGCGGCGAGCGAACGGGGAGGAGCCCAGAACCUGAAUCGGCUUGUGUGUUAGUGGAAGCGUCUGGAAAGUCGCGCAGCAAAGGGUGAUAGCCCCGUACACUAAAAUGCACAGGUCGUGAGUUCGAUGAGUAGGGCGGGACACGUGACAUCCUGUCUGAAUAUGGGGGGACCAUCCUCCAAGGCUAAAUACUCCUGACUGACCGAUAGUGAACCAGUACCGUGAGGAAAGGCGAAAAGAACCCCGGCGAGGGAGUGAAAUAGAACCUGAAACCGUGUACGUACAAGCAGUGGGAGCACCUUCGUGGUGUGACUGCGUACCUUUUGUAUAAUGGGUCAGCGACUUAUAUUUUGUAGCAAGGUUAACCGUAUAGGGGAGCCGUAGGAAACCGAGUCUUAACUGGGCGAAUAGUUGCAAGGUAUAGACCCGAAACCCGGUGAUCUAGCCAUGGGCAGGUUGAAGGUUGGGUAACACUAACUGGAGGACCGAACCGACUAAUGUUGAAAAAUUAGCGGAUGACUUGUGGCUGGGGGUGAAAGGCCAAUCAAACCGGGAGAUAGCUGGUUCUCCCGAAAGCUAUUUAGGUAGCGCCUCGUGAACUCAUCUUCGGGGGUAGAGCACUGUUUCGGCUAGGGGGCCAUCCCGGCUUACCAAACCGAUGCAAACUCCGAAUACCGAAGAAUGUUAUCACGGGAGACACACGGCGGGUGCUAACGUCCGUCGUGAAGAGGGAAACAACCCAGACCGCCAGCUAAGGUCCCAAAGUCAUGGUUAAGUGGGAAACGAUGUGGGAAGGCAUAGACAGCCAGGAUGUUGGCUUAGAAGCAGCCAUCAUUUAAAGAAAGCGUAAUAGCUCACUGGUCGAGUCGGCCUGCGCGGAAGAUGUAACGGGGCUAAACCAUGCACCGAAGCUGCGGCAGCGACGCUUAGGCGUUGUUGGGUAGGGGAGCGUUCUGUAAGCCGUUGAAGGUGGCCUGUGAGGGUUGCUGGAGGUAUCAGAAGUGCGAAUGCUGACAUAAGUAACGAUAAAGCGGGUGAAAAGCCCGCUCGCCGGAAGACCAAGGGUUCCUGUCCAACGUUAAUCGGGGCAGGGUGAGUCGACCCCUAAGGCGAGGCUGAAAAGCGUAGUCGAUGGGAAACAGGUUAAUAUUCCUGUACUUGGUGUUACUGCGAAGGGGGGACGGAGAAGGCUAGGCUAGCCGGGCGACGGUUGUCCCGGUUUAAGCGUGUAGGGGGUGUGACCUGGUAAAUCCGGUUGCAUACUAACCCUGAGGCGUGAUGACGAUGCACUACGGUGCAGAAGUAGUUGAUGCCCUGCUUCCAGGAAAAUCCUCUAAGCUCCAGGUAACAUUAAAUCGUACCCCAAACCGACACAGGUGGUCAGGUAGAGAAUACCAAGGCGCUUGAGAGAACUCGGGUGAAGGAACUAGGCAAAAUGGUGCCGUAACUUCGGGAGAAGGCACGCUGGCAUGUAGGUGAAGUCCCUUGCGGAUGGAGCUGAAGCCAGUCGAAGAUACCAGCUGGCUGCAACUGUUUAAUAAAAACACAGCACUGUGCAAACACGAAAGUGGACGUAUACGGUGUGACGCCUGCCCGGUGCUGGAAGGUUAAUUGAUGGGGUCAGCCGCAAGGCGAAGCUCUUGAUCGAAGCCCCAGUAAACGGCGGCCGUAACUAUAACGGUCCUAAGGUAGCGAAAUUCCUUGUCGGGUAAGUUCCGACCUGCACGAAUGGCGUAAUGAUGGCCAGGCUGUCUCCACCCGAGACUCAGUGAAAUUGAACUCGCUGUGAAGAUGCAGUGUACCCGCGGCAAGACGGAAAGACCCCGUGAACCUUUACUAUAGCUUGACACUGAACAUUGAGCCUUGAUGUGUAGGAUAGGUGGGAGGCUUUGAAGCGUGGACGCCAGUCUGCGUGGAGCCAUCCUUGAAAUACCACCCUUUAAUGUUUGAUGUUCUAACUCGGCCCCAUAAUCUGGGGUGAGGACAGUGUCUGGUGGGUAGUUUGACUGGGGCGGUCUCCUCCCAAAGAGUAACGGAGGAGCACGAAGGUUAGCUAAUCACGGUCGGACAUCGUGAGGUUAGUGCAAAGGCAUAAGCUAGCUUGACUGCGAGAGUGACGGCUCGAGCAGGUACGAAAGUAGGUCUUAGUGAUCCGGUGGUUCUGAAUGGAAGGGCCAUCGCUCAACGGAUAAAAGGUACUCGGGGAUAACAGGCUGAUACCGCCCAAGAGUUCAUAUCGACGGCGGUGUUUGGCACCUCGAUGUCGGCUCAUCACAUCCUGGGGCUGAAGUAGGUCCCAAGGGUAUGGCUGUUCGCCAUUUAAAGUGGUACGCGAGCUGGGUUUAGAACGUCGUGAGACAGUUCGGUCCCUAUCUGCCGUGGGCGUUGGAAGAUUGAGAGGGGUUGCUCCUAGUACGAGAGGACCGGAGUGAACGCACCACUGGUGUUCGGGUUGUCAUGCCAAUGGCAUUGCCCGGUAGCUAAGUGCGGAAAAGAUAAGCGCUGAAAGCAUCUAAGCGCGAAACUUGCCUCAAGAUGAGUCUUCCCUGGGCCUUUAAGGCCCCUGAAGGAACGUUUAAGACUAAGACGUUGAUAGGCUGGGUGUGUAAGUGCAGCGAUGCAUUGAGCUAACCAGUACUAAUGAUCCGUGAGGCUUAACCUUACAACACCGAAGGUGUUUUAG
Molecule: ribosomal RNA, 2933 nt
Filed under: Serratia marcescens
Lineage: Bacteria; Pseudomonadati; Pseudomonadota; Gammaproteobacteria; Enterobacterales; Yersiniaceae
Description: bacterial LSU rRNA
Rfam family: Bacterial large subunit ribosomal RNA
Source: RNAcentral